Molecule: long non-coding RNA, 324 nt
Organism: Apis dorsata (giant honeybee)
Lineage: Eukaryota; Metazoa; Arthropoda; Insecta; Hymenoptera; Apidae
Exons: 3
Source: RefSeq, a predicted model, not a curated record
GAAGGUUCGCGAUUUUUUCAAGAGACCUUUUUACCUUUUCUCAGGGUCGACUCGUCCAAAUCGGGUUGCAACGCUCGCGCUAAAAUUUGUCAGAAUGAUGAAUGAAAAGAAAAAAAAAAAAAAAAUUGAAGGGAAGUAAGAGAAGAAGAAAGGAAUGAGUCGAAUUAAUCGACGAUUGUUAGAGAAAUUUCUACUGACCCUUCCGCAACUCUCUUUCCGUCAUCGGUUGAUCUGGGGCUAUACAUGAUGAUAUGAAACAUAAAUGUUCGAUUAACGAUUAAUAACAUAUUUUCCAUAUAAUUUCUUUUUCCCUAUAUAUAUUUU